CUUUUCCCCUCUGGCAGCGGAGGCGAGCACCGCGAACGCCGUGUCCCGAGCGCCGCCGCCUGCGGACGCCUCACGGGCCGGGAAGGGAUGGGGCCUUUCUCCUAAGGCGCCAGUGUCUCCAAUGUUUAACUUAUAGAUGCAUCAGAAUGACAGUGAGGCGUUGGUGAGAGCUGCUCUGGUUGCUAAUGGAGAUCUGGCCUGCCAUAGUGGGAGCAGAGCUUGCCCAGUGCGCUGGGACGACUGCGGGCUCCAUCCAUUCCGCUCCCAGGACGGUUGUCGUCCAGGACCGUGCGCUGUCAGGUCCCCCGUGGGAUCCUUCCUGGAGCUUACACUAUAGUAGGAGGCAGCCAGUACUUGCAAGCACGGGAUCGCGGGAACUACGACCUCACCCAGGCCAGGCGACCUUUCUCUCAAGAAGGAGAUGUCAGAGGCCCCGCGUGACAUAGAGCUUCCGGGGACAGGGCUCCUAAUGUGUUUGUCAGUAGAGAUGGGGUUUUACCACGUUGGCCAGGAUGGUCUUGAUCUCCUGACCUCAUGAUCUGCCUUCCUCAGCCUCCUAUUGAUCAAGGUUUUACAUGAUGCAGGAGCCUUCAGAGUGAAGACCCAGAGAUACAGGAUAAAGUACAGGAUCCUUUCUGGAAUGGAGGUCUUAUGAGCUGCUAUCGAACAAGGUAGAUGGAGUCUCGCUCUGUCACCAGGCUGGAGUACAAUGGCGUGAUCUCGGCUCACUGCAACCUCCACCUCUCGGGUUCAAGUGAUUCUUCUGCCUCAGCCUCCUGAGUAGCUGGGACUACAGAAUCACACCCUUUCUCCAGGACCACUCUUCUUCUGCUGGAAGUACAUUCUUCAGUGAGUUCCUUGAGUCUCACUCUCCUGAGUUUCCUGUUGUGAUAAAUUCUGUUUCCCAUCUGGAAAUGCCCUUUACCGUGAGCAGAUUCUUGAACAACCAUCAAUUUCAACUCCUGAUUCUAAGUUGACUGUGAAGAGUCCCAAGUCACACUCACUGUAUCACAUGGCUUCCGGCUCCCACUAUGGCCACUACAAAGUCUACUCUCAGUCUCAGCGUCUGUGCUCUGUGAUCUGUGCUUUUCCCUUGGCUGCAUUAAAGAUCUUCUCUUUGC
Molecule: small RNA, 1121 nt
Filed under: Pongo abelii (Sumatran orangutan)
Lineage: Eukaryota; Metazoa; Chordata; Mammalia; Primates; Hominidae
Description: processed transcript
Source: RNAcentral